GUGGGGAAUUUUGGACAAUGGGGGCAACCCUGAUCCAGCCAUUCCGCGUGAGUGAAGAAGGCCUUCGGGUUGUAAAGCUCUUUCGGCCGGGAAGAAAUCGCAUCUCCUAAUACGGGGUGUGGAUGACGGUACCGGAAGAAGAAGCACCGGCUAACUACGUGCCAGCAGCCGCGGUAAUACGUAGGGUGCGAGCGUUAAUCGGAAUUACUGGGCGUAAAGCGUGCGCAGGCGGUUGUGCAAGACAGAUGUGAAAUCCCCGGGCUUAACCUGGGAAUGGCAUUUGUGACUGCACGGCUAGAGUGUGUCAGAGGGGGGUAGAAUUCCACGUGUAGCAGUGAAAUGCGUAGAUAUGUGGAGGAAUACCGAUGGCGAAGGCAGCCCCCUGGGCCUGCACUGACGCUCACGCACGAAAGCGUGGGGAGCAAACAGGAUUAGAUACCCUUGUAGUCC
RNAcentral lists this ribosomal RNA (450 nucleotides) under uncultured bacterium. RNAcentral describes it as "bacterial SSU rRNA". It matches the Rfam family "Bacterial small subunit ribosomal RNA", at positions 354 to 796 of the family's 1533-position model. The record is from RNAcentral.